UGGUUCUGUCACCACAGCUCCUACGUUUGC
This 30-nucleotide non-coding RNA is filed under the name Rattus norvegicus (Norway rat). Lineage: Eukaryota; Metazoa; Chordata; Mammalia; Rodentia; Muridae. The record is from RNAcentral.